ACCCACGGGGAGAUGUGAGCCCUUCAAAUGAGGGCUUUUACCAAGAGAUUGGUCAUCGGGUAAUCUGGAAGCCACCUCAUACAAUUACAUCUCCCCAGCUAAUUGUUUGGCCUGUAAAAAACAAAAGCAAAACAAAAAGUGGUGCCUAUGAAAGUGUUCCCUUGUUUCAUAAGCUUAAGGACAGAGACUACUAUGAAGCUGCUUGUGGUGAGCUGCUAAAAAAACGAAUGGUGGUGAAGAGAAAAGUUAAAUUGGACAGGUCAAAGAGGAAGAUGCUUCGUAAACACAAGGAUGUGAAACCUGAAGCAGAGACUGUAGAAGUAUGGACAAUACCAAAACGCAGCUUACCCAGAGGGUACGGAUUGAGGAAAUCCAGCUACAGAAAAUAAUAUAUUCCUGCUAGGGACAACUGAUGACAAGUACAUGGAACCUGACUAUUUUUACUUUGACUUGGGUUAGAGCUGUACAUUCAUAACAGGGGAAAACAGUCUUAUAUAAUGCUGCAUAAUCUACCGAACAAAA
Long non-coding RNA from Vombatus ursinus (common wombat), 522 nucleotides. RefSeq lists it as uncharacterized. The record is from RefSeq and is a predicted model, not a curated record. The transcript is spliced from 3 exons. Lineage: Eukaryota; Metazoa; Chordata; Mammalia; Diprotodontia; Vombatidae.